CGUGAAGCUACAUUUGCGCAUGCGCGGCCCUGGGGGAGGGGCGCAGAGGCCUCGCGCUUGCGCCAUAGGCGCAUCUUGUCUCCACAGUGGGAGGUUCUGUUCGCCCACGCCUCCCGGCAGCUUCGGUGUCAUGGCGACGGCGGUUCCGGGUCUCAGGUCCCACCGCCGUCGGCCCAGGAGCGGGUGGCGUCCGCGCCAGACAGGUUUUGUUUUACCUCGAAGAUACUCCUCAUCUGAAACCUUCCAUGGGCACAGAGGCUCCUGCAAAGGAAGAAUCAGCAGCUGGGUCAGUCUGGUGAGGAAGAUCUGGCCCCGAACACGCUGGCUGAGGUCCUACUGCUGAUGGAGGAACCCUCUGUGAUUUGACUCAACAACUAAGUGUCUAUGAAACACCCUGCCAUUUUGACUAUGUGUAUUUCUUGCUCUCAAGGAGGAGAAAGAAAUAUGCAGUGGGAGCCAGAAAGACCCAGACUGAGAAUGUGGCUAUGGUCCUGGAAAGGUUCUGUGAAGAGAUGGGGGGAAAGAAGACAUGGCAGCUGGAAGAAGGAAUUACAGUGCCUUUUGCAAACAUUUAUCCAAUAUCUUGUCUUCCCUGUGACUAAUGUGCAAGUCCUGCCUUUGAGAAGCUUACAGUCAAACUGGGGAGACAGCUUUGUACACCAGUGCUGGUCAAUGUAAGGGCAGAAUGGGACAAAUGGACUCCUGAAGAGAAAUAAAAGAAGAUUUUCCUCCUAAAGAUGCUUAUCUCUGAAAGAAAUGCUGGAAAUAAUGCCAGGGGAAACUAAAGGACUGAUUAUCUUUAAAAAAAAAAAAAAAUUGGGCAGGGAGGGUAUAGCUCAGUGGUAGAGCAUGUUCUUAGCAUGCACGAGGUCCUAGGUUCAAUCCCUAGUACCUCUAUUAAAAGAUAGCUAAAAUAAAAAUAAAUAAACCUAAUUAUCUUCCCCCACAAAAAAAUAAAAUAAAAUAAUUUUUUAAAAGUUAUCUGGGAAGUUUAGGGAACCGGGUUCCAACCAUUAUCUGCAGAAAUGUUGCUGUGCCCAGAGACAUGCAGUCACUAAGGCUGCCCCAGUUGAAGAGAGACCUCUGUGUUUGACAUCUUUCACAGGUGUCUUGGGAUUUAUGGAACACAAAUUUCAAAAGUCAAUUUUAAUAACAUUUAAAGAAAGAAAAAGGAAAGAGUUUGUUAACAAGCCCAGGGCCCAGGAAGGUCACUCCAGUUUCUCUACCCAUGUUCUCAUUAGAAGUGACUCUAGCCCGGGGCUCAAAGGGAGCAAAUCCAUUUGAGCAAAUACGGGGGGAAUCCUGAGACCCCUUCUCCUGGGGAGUCAUGAAGUAAAGAGAUUUGGGGCCAGUGCUCUGAAACCACGUGCACCAAAGAGCUCCACUCCUCCAAGAAGAAAACCCAAAGAUUGCCCUGUGGGCAAGACCCCUGGUAUCUGCACCUUUCCUGUGGAAGGCUUCUUUGUUUAGACAUCAUCCUUGCCUGCUUUUUUGAUAUAUCUAUCUUUAGACAAUGAACAAGUGAAACCCAACAAGGCAAAGCUAAGUUAGGAUUGGCUAUGACCACAGACCACCAUUUCUGGCUCAAGGUGGAUAAAUAAAAGGGUUCAGAGCACAACCCCACCGUCAUCUCCACCCCACUUCACUGAAACCAUCACCCAACUGCCCUGGCAGAGGCUGGGCUGUGGACUGCUGGCGAAACUUCUGCCCUACCAAGUAAUCCACCUUUAGAUUGACAGUGGAACACAGUAGAAAAUAUCUGAAUGUCGGUCGAAGAUGCACUUGGUGUGGCUCAAAGGGAGAGGGGCCUCUGUAACCAGUUCCAUCUCUUGGUGUCUUGCAGUCUUCAUCUCACUAAGCAAUCAAACUGAGACGUAACUCAGAGGAAGAGCAUCUCUCAUUUUGGCGGAUCUGCUGGACUGCUUCUGCUUAUGCACUGUGAGAAGCACCAUAUUUUCAAGAAAAUACAAAAUGCAGAAGUGAAAAAUAUUUUGAAGUAAACAAUUUUAAGUAAAAAAAAGGUUGAAUACUCAUUUUAAAUGA
This is a long non-coding RNA of Camelus dromedarius (Arabian camel), 2043 nucleotides long. RefSeq lists it as uncharacterized. NCBI's taxonomy places the organism in Eukaryota, Metazoa, Chordata, Mammalia, Artiodactyla, Camelidae. The record is from RefSeq and is a predicted model, not a curated record. The transcript is spliced from 2 exons.